GGGGAAUAUUGCACAAUGGGCGCAAGCCUGAUGCAGCAACGCCGCGUGAGGGAUGACGGCCUUCGGGUUGUAAACCUCUUUUAGUAGGGAAGAAGCGCAAGUGACGGUACCUGCAGAAAAAGCACCGGCUAACUACGUGCCAGCAGCCGCGGUAAUACGUAGGGUGCAAGCGUUGUCCGGAAUUAUUGGGCGUAAAGAGCUCGUAGGCGGCUUGUCGCGUCUGCCGUGAAAACCCGAGGCUCAACCUCGGGCGUGCGGUGGGUACGGGCAGGCUAGAGUGCGGUAGGGGAGAUUGGAAUUCCUGGUGUAGCGGUGGAAUGCGCAGAUAUCAGGAGGAACACCGAUGGCGAAGGCAGAUCUCUGGGCCGUAACUGACGCUGAGGAGCGAAAGCAUGGGGAGCGAAC
This 405-nucleotide ribosomal RNA is filed under the name uncultured bacterium. Its description in RNAcentral is "bacterial SSU rRNA". It matches the Rfam family "Bacterial small subunit ribosomal RNA", at positions 356 to 773 of the family's 1533-position model. The record is from RNAcentral.